Molecule: ribosomal RNA, 159 nt
Filed under: Rhododendron simsii
Lineage: Eukaryota; Viridiplantae; Streptophyta; Magnoliopsida; Ericales; Ericaceae
Description: 4.5S ribosomal RNA
Source: RNAcentral
AGGUCACGGCGAGACGAGCCGUUUAUCAUUACGAUAGGUGUCAAGUGGAAGAUGGCCUUCAACAAAAAAAAGUUGAAAAUCGCUUCUUCAACAAAAAAAAGUGGAAGGUGGCAGUAAUGUACGCAGCUGAGGCAUCCUAACAGACCGGGAGACUUGAAC